GAUGAACGCUAGCUACAGGCUUAACACAUGCAAGUCGAGGGACCGGCGCACGGGUGAGUAACACGUAUCCAACCUGCCCUUUACUCGGGGAUAGCCUUUCGAAAGAAAGAUUAAUACCCGAUAUAAAGGAUGGGGCUGCGUUCCAUUAGGUUGGUGGUGAGGACACGGUCCACCAAGCCUUCGAUGGAUAGGGGUUCUGAGAGGGAGGUCCUCCACAUUGGAACUGGGACACGGUCCAAACUCCUACGGGAGACAGCAGUGAGGAAGAUUUGUCAAUGGGCGUUAGCCUGCACCAGCCAAGUAGCGUGAAGGAUGAAUGCUUAUGGGUCGUAAACUUCUUGUAUAUAAGAAUAUGUAUUAUAUGAAUAAGGAUCGGCUAACUCCGUGCCAGCAGCCGCGGUAAUUC
This 406-nucleotide ribosomal RNA is filed under the name uncultured bacterium. RNAcentral describes it as "partial 16S ribosomal RNA". It matches the Rfam family "Bacterial small subunit ribosomal RNA", at positions 28 to 526 of the family's 1533-position model. The record is from RNAcentral.